GGCCUGGUGACUCAGCUGGUAGAGUGUGGGCUGUACAAUGCGCAGGUGGCGUUCAUUCGUGGGUUCGAAUCCCAUCAAAGCUA
This 83-nucleotide transfer RNA is filed under the name Echinostoma caproni. It matches the Rfam family "tRNA". From Rfam's summary of the family: Transfer RNA (tRNA) molecules are approximately 80 nucleotides in length. Their secondary structure includes four short double-helical elements and three loops (D, anti-codon, and T loops). Lineage: Eukaryota; Metazoa; Platyhelminthes; Trematoda; Plagiorchiida; Echinostomatidae. The record is from Rfam by way of RNAcentral.